RNAcentral lists this unclassified non-coding RNA (413 nucleotides) under fungal sp. RNAcentral's name for it is "partial internal transcribed spacer region". The stretch from base 1 to 46 matches the Rfam family "Eukaryotic small subunit ribosomal RNA", at positions 1786 to 1831 of the family's 1831-position model. The record is from RNAcentral. Lineage: Eukaryota; Fungi.
AAGUCGUAACAAGGUUUCCGUAGGUGAACCUGCGGAAGGAUCAUUAACACGUAUCCAACGUAAAAAACCCCCCUGUGAACAUUCAGACCUGCUCUCGUAGCCCAGUGCGAUCCAGCAAUCCCGGUAAAUCAUUGUUAAACAGUAUUGAUUCGGGACUUCUGACAAAUGAGAAGUUACAGUUACGAUUUUGAGCGGUGAAAGCUGCAUGGCAUCCCCAGCAGUCAGUGUCUGAAAGUGUCAUUGAUUGUCGAUGGAGAUCUCGCCUCAACGAUUGCUAGAGGUCGCUCACCGACCGGCAGACAUGCAACCGGGUCCCCAUGCCCCUUUAUAACCCCAUUAACUCUGUGAGUCUACGGGAAUCCAGUAGGCUAAAAAAACUCGAACAACUGUUAACAAUGGAUAUCUUGGUUCUC